RNAcentral lists this ribosomal RNA (244 nucleotides) under uncultured bacterium. RNAcentral describes it as "partial small subunit ribosomal RNA". It matches the Rfam family "Bacterial small subunit ribosomal RNA", at positions 26 to 285 of the family's 1533-position model. The record is from RNAcentral.
AGAAUCAACGCUGGCGGCGUGCCUAACACAUGCAAGUCGAACGAGAAAGUGGAGCAAUCCAUGAGUAAAGUGGCGACCGGGUGAGUAACACGUGACUAACCUACCUUCGAGUGGGGGAUAACCUCGGGAAACCGAGGCUAAUACCGCAUAACAUCGUGAGAUCAAAGCAGUAAUGCGCUGGAAGAGGGGGUCGCGGCUGAUUAGCUAGUUGGCGGGUAAUGGCCCACCAAGGCGAAGAUCGAUA